CAUGGAGGGUGAGAAUCCCGUUCGGUUGAUCAGAUUCGCUUUACGAUACGUCAUCAAAGAGUCAAGUUGUUUGGGAUUGCAGCUUAAAAUGGGAGGUAAAUUUCUCCUAAGGCUAAAUAACGGCGAGAGACCGAUAGCGAACAAGUACCGUGAGGGAAAGAUGAAAAGAACUUUGAAAAGAGAGUUAAAUAGUACGUGAAAUUGUUGAAAGGGAAACGAUUGAAGCCAGUCGUACCUGCGGGUAAUCAGCCUUUUGGGCGUGAUUCUGUGGAGUGUGAGGAGUUAAACGCCUUCAUGCCUGCAUAUUCGUGUACUUUGGGUGUACUUGCCCGUGUGGUUGGUUAACAUCAAUUUUGAUCUGUCAUAAAAUGGCUGGAGGAAUGUAGCUUCGAUCUCGUAUUGAAGUGUUAUAGCCUUCGGUAGAUGUGAUGAUCGGGAUUGAGGAUUGCAACGGAUACCUUUCGGGGCUACUUGUCUGAUCUCUGAUCGUUGCUCUGGUGCCGAAAGCGUGCUUACGGUUAUCAAAGUCGAUGGUCAAUAGGUUAGAACGAGUUAAAUUCGUUAAGGAUGUUGACGUAAUGG
Molecule: ribosomal RNA, 582 nt
Filed under: Glomus sp. DQF10
Lineage: Eukaryota; Fungi; Glomeromycota; Glomeromycetes; Glomerales; Glomeraceae
Description: eukaryotic LSU rRNA
Rfam family: Eukaryotic large subunit ribosomal RNA
Source: RNAcentral